AUGAAAAAGACUUUACCUGGAAGACAACCACUAGAGCUUGCUUGGCUCUCGCUCCCACUCUUUCGAGCUAUAACGUCAAUAGCAAGACUGAUUACCAAUCCCGGGCGAUUCGAGCGAGUAGGCCCCGACAGGAGCUUAGCCCGAUGGAUGCGUUCUCAAUCCUCUUAGGAAUCUCUAUCUCACCCAAGGGAAAGAGAUUCGAUAAACCACCGAUCUUGCCCAAAAGCAAUCAUUUAGCUCUAGCUCUACUCCUUCUACAGGGAUGAAAGUAACUCGACCGUAAGGGUCAGAGCUAUGUUGACGUAUCAAAAGGUUGAGAGGGAUCUUGCUCGUUCUACAAGUAUUCCGCUCGCUCCACUCGUUUAUUCCACGUAGACCCUCACUUAGACUUUCUUCUGAUCUUGCUUACCGUUCUGAUUGGGCUUCGAGUGGGGUAGAUCUCUAUGGAGGUUAUGCUUCGGUUCCUUCCUCUAGCUCCGAGUGAAGAUCUUUUUGAAUUGGACAAAGCCAUAAGACACUCACAGACAAAGCAGCUCGGGGGAUAAAGAUAAGAGGAGUGAAAGCCAUGUACCCCUAAUCUUCCCACCCGGGCUAAGGUAUGAGUUUCCAGGCGGAAAGCCCAUUCUCGAUAUGUGCCUAUCAUUACGAUAUUUUCCUUUCCUUCUGAUAAUAGUACUAGACUCUUGGCUUAAGUCAGCAAGUCAUGCUCCUUCUGUGUUAGGGCCUCGCUUAUAUGUCUUAGUAGAGGGCCCCUUCAAGUUAGUCUUCUAAGGAUACUACUGGCUCCAGUAAACAUGCUUUAAUUUGCCUUUGAUUCACGAGGGAACUGUCUAAAAGUGAAAGGCAUCAUUGGUAGGCGGCCAAGCGAACAUUCCCGCUAAUCACUCUACUCCUCCUGCGAACCGUUGAUGAGCAAGCCGAGCUUGGAACCUCUUCUACUUUACCGACAGCAGCUCUGAAUAAGGAAUGAUUGAACUUUGGCUAUCCACAUCUGAAAGCACUCUACUUCAACCUCUUAGUUAUCAAAUCCUCUUGAUUCACUCUUAUCUUGAAAAAGAAAGAUCACAUUUAAAAGGGAUCUCCUCUUAUUAUUAAGAAUCAAAAAAGCAUCCAAUUUGCCUUCAUAAAGGAAGAAACUCAAGCAAAGAUACCAUAGAAGGGUACUGCUACUUGAAAGCCUAGGGCUAAUAGCAAAACAGGGAGAUUCGUGGAAAGAUGUGCUAUACUAUGGAUAUUUCCUCACAAUCAUAUUGUUGAUUCCAGUUACCAUCAGAUUGAAUGAAAGGGAUGACCAGCAGAUGAUAGCAAGGCUAAACAGAUUCGAGAUUAUCGAUCAGAUGAGCUGACAGGGCAAGCACGUACUACCAGAAGAGUAGACCUCAGAGCGAUUGAUUCCCAGUGCUUGAAUAAACUGACUUGGAGCCUUCCUACUAGAAGGAAUGGUGGGAGGGACACUGUUCCCGGCUUUUAACUCCUUCACUGAACCUUAACUGAAUGAGAAGGGCUUCCGAGUGGAACGAUACCGAUCCCGGCCCAACGCGAAAGGCAUAAAACCUCUCCGUACGUUCUUACUCUGAGUUAAGAGUUCCGAGUUAGUAGCUAAGAGCGGACUGAGAGGAAGUCAUAGGCCGGAUUGAUUAAAUGAGGAUGGCUCGGGGAAGUAAGAACUCCAACUUCCAUCGAACAGGGGGAAGCGACUAGACUCAGCCUGCAAUAGCCAGAUAAAGCGGCGGGGACCAAUCCAACUAGUUGGAGCCAAUCAGUCCAGGGAAGGCAACUGGCCUUAGGCCUGCAAUUGGAUCUAAAAGAUUAGCACAAACAAGAGAUGUCAUUAGUAAGUACUGCAAUCUAUCACUCUUUCUCGAUCCAAGACAAAAGGAAGAAAAAUAGAUGCCCUUCUCUCUUAAACUAGCUCGCUGGCUGUAAUGGACUCUUGAAUUGCUAUUGGCCUAAUUGGCCCUAAAAUGCGAGCUUUCUAUCUCACUUGUUUGCUAGCUUGCAACUGCUGUUACGGGCACUGAAACUAACUCGGCUGUCCCGAGGGAGAUUUUUUUCAAAAAUGAUAAGAAAUUAAUCGCGAAGAAAGCGAAAUCUAAAGAUAGGGGAGAGGAAUUUCUAUUUGCAAUAGCAAGAGGCGUAGGGAACCCAUUGAAAAUGGAUGACAUUACUAAGAUAAGAUCGAAGCUGCUAUACGCCCUAUAUGCGUAGACAUCGACCUAAGGUAUAAACCUCCUCUUGGACAUUGGUGAUAGCGGAGACCCCUGCUAACUCUUGUUUUCCUGCCCAAGCCUCUCUCGAUCCCUUGGAAAAAGACCUAUUUGCCUAUCUCUUUGAUCUGACUAGGUCAAUCGACCUAUCCCCCAGCGUACCGGAGCUUGUCUACCCGCUGAAGAUCGCCCCUACUGCAUACUGGGCACGGAUCCCCUUUCUUUCUUGCGGUCGCCUCGGGCUUAAUCCGUAUAAUGGUUAUCAACUACUGGCAUUGUGGGGUAAGAUUUCUUUGACAUAGAAGGAUGCCCCUCGGAAGGUUUAGCUACGUCCUGUAAAAACUUGCUACAAGCAGGCAACUUACUACCUCUCUGUCUCCUCUUCUUAUAUAGUUGAUGGACUUAGUUUCAUCGUAUAAGAGACGGGUCGGUGGGCAAGUGAGUACCUGUACUACGGUCGUAUCAAAACCUAAAAACUGAAAGAAGAAGGAAAAUCAAUCAAUAGGACACUAUCGAAGUUUAAACGUCACAGGUCUCCCGCCAGAAGGGAAAGUUUCAACCGAAAAUGGCUUCUCAUAGGAUAGGGCAUUCCAUCCGAUUCUUUUCUGAACAAAUAAAAUCCCAGAGCCCAAACUCUGGUUAGAGCGAGAGCUAGAGGGAGAGUUGAGAGACUUAGGUCCGGACCAUAGCCAUCAUUUGAGGGGGACUCUCUUUAUAAAAUAAAGAAGCCCAAGGCCCAUCUAGAUUCAAAAUGGAGUAGCAUAAAUCCCCGUAUAUUCGAACUGCGAUAUCUUCUUUCUUUUUUAAUCAUUCCCAAUACCGAGAUGAGUUCUCGUCCCAUCUUGCUUUUGCUACCGGUCACCGUAAGCAACCUCUAAUAACUUGCUUGAGCCACGGGGAAAUACUCUAUGAGACCGGCCCUAUACCUAUACGAAGGCAAGCUUUCCAACGAAAUACCCCAUGAGGUAGAUUAAGAAGGGCGCGCUUUCGAAUUAGCGAAAAAAGAAGGGAAGUGAACUUUGCCCUGAACGAAGGAUUUAUCCUUUGUUGAGAUAGAACUAAGCACCAACUAGAUCGCCUAUGAAGAAAGUAGGCACAAAGACAUUUCUAAAGAAAGAAGGCAGCAAGCAAGGACAUGAGGAUAGAGGCUUCGGAUUCCUUAUCACCACCCGAAGAAAAGAGAUCGAACUGAUAAUUGGAAUUGGAAGAGGAGACAGAGCACGUAGCUCAGCUCAUAGGACUUCCGGGCGAGGAAAGCCUAAACCUUAUCCUUAUUGGAGGCCUCUUCGUGCCUUACUUCUCUAUGGAUCUGACCGGCUCGAUUGAGACAGAGAGUCAAGGUGCGAAUCGAAAGUUUAAAAGGCUUCUUCCGAUGUCGAAUCAGGCGAAGGAGGGGAACUCAGAGCCCUUGUCAAGGGUUCACCCUAGAUAUGGGAUCGAAGUGGCUGCUAGAAAGAGAGAGCGAGUCCUAUGUUCAAUAAUCUUAUUGCUCCUGUGCUUAGGGAGCUACAGGAGAAGAAAAGAAGACAACAAAUAACAGAAGGAAAUGGCAAAAUUCAUUGAUGAAAGACGGCCCACUGAUUAAAGAAAGAAAGAAGUUGACUAUAUCGGAGUGGAAGUUGCAUUUGCGCAAGAUUCGUGGAACUGGGCAUGGCAAAGACAGAUCAAUUCCUAAACGAACCAUUUUAUAGAUUCGUUCUGGAAGUUCCCCCCUAAAGGGUGUCAUAUGUGUUGGCGGAUCCAUUUUAUAUAGCAAUAGAGUCGAAACAUAAAAUGUAUGCUAGCGGAUCUGCUUGAGCUUCCUUAGCCUUAGGCAAAGUGGAAAGCUUAUUUUGAGCUAUUCAUUGACCAAAGUUUCCUCGGGUCAUUAGAGUUGGAGUUUGAGUACUCGCAGCUAAUCAAUUGAAGACCCUUAGGAUUAGGGGCAAGCAGUGAGGUUACCCUUUAGGGCGGAUGAAAGGGAAAGACUCGUUUUUUCCCUUUCCAUUUGAUGGCACUCUCGCCGACAAAGAGCUUUAUCCCAGCUCGGAAAUGAAAUAAUCAAUGUCCUUUGCUUUCCCAUCUCUAUCUUAUUUUUAUAGCCUGACUUUCCGGCCGCACCUCUUCUGAAGUCGGGUUUUUAUCGCUGAUUUCCGCUGCUUAGUGACUUGGCCUUAGUGUGGUACCUGGGACCUACGCUUGUCCAAUAGUUCAUGUCGGGGAAAGAUGAAU
This 4418-nucleotide long non-coding RNA is filed under the name Coffea arabica (coffee). RNAcentral describes it as "long non-coding RNA (CARA_LNC008328)". The record is from RNAcentral. Lineage: Eukaryota; Viridiplantae; Streptophyta; Magnoliopsida; Gentianales; Rubiaceae.